AUGUUCGGCCUACGUGUGCACGUCGAUGCCGAGGCGGUUCCUCGCCCCGACGACCCCGAGUGGCAGAUGGCCGACCACACCGUCAUCCACUGUCUAUAUGCCACCAUACCGCUGGAGCUCCUCGAUGCGAUCAAGCAGCCCGAGGACACGGCCCGCAUUGUGUGGCUCGCCGUCGACGAGCUCUUCCGCAACAACCAGAUGGCUCGCGUAGUGUACGUCGACGCUGAGUACCACGCCACCAUCCAGGGCGACAUGACGGUGAUGCAAUUCUGCACCAAGCUCAAGACCUUCGCCGACCAACUCCGUGAUCUGGGCUAG
This 318-nucleotide ribosomal RNA is filed under the name Triticum aestivum (bread wheat). Its description in RNAcentral is "partial small subunit ribosomal RNA". Lineage: Eukaryota; Viridiplantae; Streptophyta; Magnoliopsida; Poales; Poaceae. The record is from RNAcentral.